AGUGAACGCUGGCGGUAGGCCCAACACAUGCAAGUCGAACGGCAGCACAGUAAGAGCUUGCUCUUACGGGUGGCGAGUGGCGGACGGGUGAGGAAUACAUCGGAAUCUACUUUUUCGUGGGGGAUAACGUAGGGAAACUUACGCUAAUACCGCAUACGACCUACGGGUGAAAGCAGGGGAUCUUCGGACCUUGCGCGAUUGAAUGAGCCGAUGUCGGAUUAGCUAGUUGGCGGGGUAAAGGCCCACCAAGGCGACGAUCCGUAGCUGGUCUGAGAGGAUGAUCAGCCACACUGGAACUGAGACACGGUCCAGACUCCUACGGGAGGCAGCAGUGGGGAAUAUUGGACAAUGGGCGCAAGCCUGAUCCAGCCAUACCGCGUGGGUGAAGAAGGCCUUCGGGUUGUAAAGCCCUUUUGUUGGGAAAGAAAAGCAGCAGGUUAAUACCCCGCUGUCCUGACGGUACCCAAAGAAUAAGCACCGGCUAACUUCGUG
This 492-nucleotide ribosomal RNA is filed under the name uncultured bacterium. RNAcentral describes it as "partial 16S ribosomal RNA". It matches the Rfam family "Bacterial small subunit ribosomal RNA", at positions 29 to 507 of the family's 1533-position model. The record is from RNAcentral.